GAGUUUGAUCAUGGCUCAGGAUGAACGCUAGCGGCAGGCUUAACACAUGCAAGUCGAGGGGUAGUAUAGCAAUAUAUGAGACCGGCGCACGGGUGCGUAACGCGUAUGCAAUCUACCUUUUACAGGGGAAUAGCCCAGAGAAAUUUGGAUUAAUGCCCCAUGGUAUAAUUGAUUGGCAUCAAUUAAUUAUUAAAGUUCCAACGGUAAAAGAUGAGCAUGCGUCCCAUUAGCUAGUUGGUAUGGUAACGGCAUACCAAGGCGAUGAUGGGUAGGGGUCCUGAGAGGGAGAUCCCCCACACUGGUACUGAGACACGGACCAGACUCCUACGGGAGGCAGCAGUGAGGAAUAUUGGACAAUGGGCGCAAGCCUGAUCCAGCCAUGCCGCGUGCAGGAAGAAGCAUCUAUGGUGUGUAAACUGCUUUUAUACAGGAAGAAACACUCCCUCGUGAGGGAGCUUGAUGGUACU
Molecule: ribosomal RNA, 467 nt
Filed under: uncultured bacterium
Lineage: Bacteria
Description: bacterial SSU rRNA
Rfam family: Bacterial small subunit ribosomal RNA
Source: RNAcentral